RNAcentral lists this transfer RNA (93 nucleotides) under Fidelibacterota bacterium. Its description in RNAcentral is "Candidatus Marinimicrobia bacterium tRNA-Sec". It matches the Rfam family "Selenocysteine transfer RNA". The record is from RNAcentral. Lineage: Bacteria; Pseudomonadati; Fidelibacterota.
GGGAAUGAUUGAGUAGCUGGUGCUCUUCACGGCCUUCAAAGCCGAUGUCUUCACUAAUAAUGAAGAGCUGGGUUCGAUUCCCAGGCAUUCCCG